Molecule: long non-coding RNA, 2167 nt
Organism: Neofelis nebulosa (Clouded leopard)
Lineage: Eukaryota; Metazoa; Chordata; Mammalia; Carnivora; Felidae
Exons: 2
Source: RefSeq, a predicted model, not a curated record
UUCUCUCCUCGCGUAACAAUUGUUUCUUCAGGCUGAGGUAAUGGAUUCGUUUCCUUGAGCUCACCAGAAAGGACGAGGUUUCGACAAGGACUUCCUGGCAUUUAUUCCUGUGACAUCUGGCAUACCACUGGCAGCAAUCAAGACAUACAACCUUGUCAUUUGGGAGAUUCGUUCACCCAAAGGAAGACUUGAUGGUACUCACCGGUUAGAGCUUCAAAGGGCAUCUCCUCGAUACGUAAUAAAUGCUGGCUCUCCACCGUCAGUCCGUCCUCAGUAUGCAGGUGCGGCUGCUAUGGCUGCGCACAUCGUUAAGUGCUGCACACUCCACCUUCCCGCUGGACCAACCACCGGAGGUUAGCAUCGGGAGUCUCCAAGGUACAGCCUCUUCUCCCCCUUGUCCCUUCGCUGCAGUUCUCUCUCAGGGUAUAGGGAUUAACAGUCGAGGCAACGAGGAAGGAAUGAGAUCCUGGGUGUCUGCCGCUCGCUCCUUGUCCUCACCGCUGCAUCUCAGCUGGGGUUGGAGAAGUCGGUGCAGCAGAGCUGGAUGCUGGCUCGUCACGGUUGCUAUGGUGAUCAGGAGCAGGCGACUUGACGGUGGCUGGGGAAGGCAGUGGAGAAGAGGUAACAGAUGAGUGAUGACGUGCUAGACUCUCCUGGGAUCUGUUGAGCCACAAGAGAGCUAAGAGAAGUGGAGUUCCUGGAUGGUACUAUCCAGAAUGUCUGUUCUUCAGCUUCAAACCAAAACCAAAACCAAACCCUCCCUCUUCUGGGAUUCUUUCCCUCCCUCCCUCCAUCCCUCCCUGAUCCCUAUCUCAACACACACCCUAGCAUUUUAAGGCUUGGAAAUUCCAGUGCUAUUUUGAUGUUCCUUGCCCUAGGGAAUCCUGCAUGGCUCCCUGGGGGAAGUGUGCAGUUGCAAGAGGCCUCUUAAGGGUCCUUUUUCUGAGAAGGGCUCCUGCUGCUGGAGUCUAAAGAAUCAUCUUUCACACUUCCAAAUGACUCCCCCUGGAUUGUCAUGACCCACGGAACUUGAAAGAAAUCUGCCAAGCACUAAAAGAUGGAGGACACGAUAGAUUUAAAUAAAUUCCUAUCAGGAUUUGCUUAUUAUGAUUAUAGCUUUAUAAUCAGAGCAGGAAGGAGCCUUAAAGAUUAUUUUGUCUUCAAGGAUCAUUGGUUUCAGUAUGAUAUCCUUCUCAGCUAUGUGGUCAAAAGCAGAUUGACUCCAGCCAGAACUCUCAGAAGAGGUCUGACCCUUGCCUGAUGACUUAGAGAAGGGGCUCUUGCUUGUCCAAAGGGUAUCCCUUAAUCACAUCAUUGUCUGCCUCAUUAAUUAGUGUUUCCCUUAUUUCCAUAAUCAUUAUGAGGAGUGGAACUGACAGAUUCAGGGGUUGUAGUGUAGAGGUGGUCCCUGCUUGUCAUCGUGAGUCCCUCAUUCAUCACACAACUCUGCAUCUGUGUCCGUUCCACCCAUAGAUCUGCAGGUGUUUUGCUCUAGUUCUAGAAUAAGGGAGGGAAUACAUUUUUACUGAGCUCUGACAAUGUUUCUGGACUUUUCAUGGGUUAUUUCAUUUAAUCCUCCUGUCAACUUGUGAGAUUUUACAUCACUGUUUUAUAAAUUAAGAACAUAAAAGCACAAAAAGUAAGUUUCUUGCUUGUGUAAGGGUAUUCAGCUAGAGAAGUGGCAAAGCUGGAAUGGCUGCCCGGUUCUGUUUGACAUGAUAAUGGAAGGUAGGAGGCCAUCUGGGUUUAGCCCAAGUAGAUUUUAGGAAAAACUUCCUGGGAUGUUCAGAAUCACUGGUAAUUUCUCCCACUUCUCAUGUACUGCUUUAAUCUAUUUCCACUGUUUUUAAAAAGAAAUAAAAUGUUUAUUUUAGAAAACUUGAAAAAUGUAGAAACAUAAAGGAAUAAAAGCCAUCCAUACGCCUACCAUCCAAAGAAAACUAUGAUUAAGGGCACCUGGGUGGCUCAGUCAGUUAUGUGUCCAACUUCCGCUCAGGUCAUGAUCUCGUGGUUCACGAGUUCGAACUCCGUGAUGGACUCUGCUGACAGCUCAGAAUUGAAGCCUGCUUCAGAUUCUAUGUCUCCCUCUCUCUGCUCCUCAACUGCUUGUGCUCUCUCUGGAAAAUAAAUAGAAACAUUUAAAAAAAUUUAAAAAAACUCUGAUUAA